GCUAAACCCCUAGCCCUAACUCACCCAAUGUUAACCUUUUAACCCUAUUCACCAACUAAAGCAUUUUAACGAUUUAGUAAAGGAGAUUAAAAAACCCUUAGGAGCUACAAAAAGAGUACCGCAAGGGAAAGGUGAAAUAAAAAUGAAACAAAUUUUAAGCAAAAAGCAGUAAAGAAAAGCCCUUGUACCUUUUGCAUCAUGGUUUAACUAGUCAAAUCAAGCAAAAAGACCUUCAGUUUGACCCCCCGAAACUAAACGAGCUACUUUGAGGCAGCCUCCUGAGCCAACCCGUCUCUGUUGUAAAAGAGUGGGACGACCCCUAAGUAGCGGUGACAAACCUACCGAGUUUAGUGAUAGCUGGUUGCUUAAGAAAAGGACCUAAAUCCACACUAAAUUGACCUUCAUACAAAAAAUAUCGCCUUCAAUUUAGACUCAUUCAAGUAAGGUACAGCCUGCUUGAAAAAGGACACAACCUCCCCCUAUGGGUAAUUAAUACAACAUUUACACCUAAGUGGGCCUAAAAGCAGCCAUCUUAGUCAAUAGCGUCAUAGCUUAAUUGUAAAUAAGCUUAAUCACAUCUUACAUAUAAAACCCUACUCCACUACUGAGCAAUUCUAUACAUUAUAUGGAAAUUCUUAUGUUAAAACUAGUAACAAGAAGCCACACCUCUCUUUAAUGCAAACCCACAUCAGACUGGAUCAACCACUGAUAAAUAACACUCCUGACCCUAAAAUAGUAACUAAACAAGAAAACCCUACUUUCCCAAGUGUUAACCUAACACAAGAGCAUUACAAGAAAGAUUAAAAGAAAAAGAAGGAACUCGGCAAACAUUGACCCCGCCUGUUUACCAAAAACAUCGCCUCUUGCCCCUCACAUAAGAGGUCCAGCCUGCCCAGUGACACUGUUCAACGGCCGCGGUAUCCUAACCGUGCGAAGGUAGCGUAAUCACUUGUUCUUUAAAUAAGGACUAGUAUGAAAGGCACCACGAGAGUCAUACUGUCUCCUUUCUCUAAUCAGUGAAACUAAUCUUCCCGUGAAGAAGCGGGGAUAAAAAUAUAAGACGAGAAGACCCUAUGGAGCUUCAAACAAAUAACACUUGCCCCAGACCCCUAAUUUCAGAAAAAUUUUCUACCCCGGCAUCAUGAUUAUUAGUUUUCGGUUGGGGUGACCACGGAAUAAAAAACAACCUCCGCAAUGAAAGACACUCAUCUACUUAAUCAAGGGCCACAACCCCACACAUCAACAAAUUGACACUAAUUGACCCAACAUGUUGAUCAAUGAACCAAGUUACCCUAGGGAUAACAGCGCAAUCCACUUCAAGAGCUCCUAUCGACAAGUGGGUUUACGACCUCGAUGUUGGAUCAGGGUGUCCCAGUGGUGCAGCCGCUACUAAAGGUUCGUUUGUCAA
Molecule: ribosomal RNA, 1408 nt
Filed under: Adenomera marmorata
Lineage: Eukaryota; Metazoa; Chordata; Amphibia; Anura; Leptodactylidae
Description: partial 16S ribosomal RNA
Rfam family: Bacterial large subunit ribosomal RNA
Source: RNAcentral